AUUGAACGCUGGCGGCAGGCCUAACACAUGCAAGUCGAGCGGAUGAAGGGAGCUUGCUCCUGGAUUCAGCGGCGGACGGGUGAGUAAUGCCUAGGAAUCUGCCUGGUAGUGGGGGAUAACGUCCGGAAACGGGCGCUAAUACUGCAUACGUCCUGAGGGAGAAAGUGGGGGAUCUUCGGACCUCACGCUAUCAGAUGAGCCUAGGUCGGAUUAGCUAGUUGGUGGGGUAAAGGCCUACCAAGGCGACGAUCCGUAACUGGUCUGAGAGGAUGAUCAGUCACACUGGAACUGAAACACGGUCCAGACUCCUACGGGAGGCAGCAGUGGGGAAUAUUGGACAAUGGGCGAAAGCCUGAUCCAGCCAUGCCGCGUGUGUGAAGAAGGUCUUCGGAUUGUAAAGCACUUUAAGUUGGGAGGAAGGGCAGUAAGUUAAUACCUUGCUGUUUUGACGUUACCAACAGAAUAAGCACCGGCUAACUUCGUG
Molecule: ribosomal RNA, 484 nt
Filed under: uncultured bacterium
Lineage: Bacteria
Description: partial 16S ribosomal RNA
Rfam family: Bacterial small subunit ribosomal RNA
Source: RNAcentral